Molecule: RNase P RNA, 384 nt
Filed under: Nocardioidaceae bacterium
Lineage: Bacteria; Bacillati; Actinomycetota; Actinomycetes; Propionibacteriales; Nocardioidaceae
Description: Bacterial RNase P class A
Rfam family: Bacterial RNase P class A
About the family: Ribonuclease P (RNase P) is a ubiquitous endoribonuclease, found in archaea, bacteria and eukarya as well as chloroplasts and mitochondria. Its best characterised activity is the generation of mature 5'-ends of tRNAs by cleaving the 5'-leader elements of precursor-tRNAs. Cellular RNase Ps are ribonucleoproteins.
Source: Rfam by way of RNAcentral
UGAGCUGGCCGGGCGGCCGCGGGAAGGAAACUUCUCGAGGAAGGUCCGGGCUGCACAGGGCAAGGUGGUGGGUAACGCCCACCCGGGGCGACCCGCGGGACAGUGCCACAGAGAACAGACCGCCUCCUUCGGGAGGUAAGGGUGAAACGGUGGUGUAAGAGACCACCAGCGGACCGGGCGACCGGCCCGGCUAGGUAAACCCCACCUGCAGCAAGGUCAAGAAGGAUCCUUCGGGAUCCGCGCGAAUGUUCGAGGGCGGCCCGCCCGAGUUCGCGGGUAGACCGCACGAGGCGGCCGGCAACGGCCGUCCCAGAUGGAUGGUCGCCGAACGCGGUGCCGCAAGGUCCGCGGGAACAGAACCCGGCCUACAGGCCAGCUCAUCCG